This 439-nucleotide ribosomal RNA is filed under the name uncultured bacterium. RNAcentral describes it as "partial 16S ribosomal RNA". It matches the Rfam family "Bacterial small subunit ribosomal RNA", at positions 339 to 795 of the family's 1533-position model. The record is from RNAcentral.
CUACGGGUGGCAGCAGUGAGGAAUAUUGCACAAUGGAGGAAACUCUGAUGCAGCAACGCCGCGUGGAGGAUGACGCAUUUCGGUGUGUAAACUCCUUUUAUAUGUCAAGAAAAUGACGGUAGCAUAUGAGUAAGCACCGGCUAACUCCGUGCCAGCAGCCGCGGUAAUACGGAGGGUGCAAGCGUUACUCGGAAUCACUGGGCGUAAAGGACGCGUAGGCGGGAUAUCAAGUCAGGUGUGAAAUCCUACAGCUUAACUGUAGAACUGCACUUGAAACUGGUAACCUAGAGUAUGGGAGGGGGAGAUGGAAUUAGUGGUGUAGGGGUAAAAUCCGUAGAUAUCACUAGGAAUACCUAAAGCGAAGGCGAUCUCCUGGAACAUAACUGACGCUAAGGCGUGAAAGCGUGGGGAGCAAACAGGAUUAGAUACCCCAGUAGUC